This 404-nucleotide ribosomal RNA is filed under the name uncultured bacterium. RNAcentral describes it as "bacterial SSU rRNA". It matches the Rfam family "Bacterial small subunit ribosomal RNA", at positions 355 to 776 of the family's 1533-position model. The record is from RNAcentral.
UGGGGAAUAUUGCACAAUGGGGGAAACCCUGAUGCAGCGACGCCGCGUGAGUGAUGAAGUAUUUCGGUAUGUAAAGCUCUAUCAGCAGGGAAGAUAAUGACGGUACCUGACUAAGAAGCUCCGGCUAAAUACGUGCCAGCAGCCGCGGUAAUACGUAUGGAGCAAGCGUUAUCCGGAUUUACUGGGUGUAAAGGGAGCGCAGACGGCAGGGCAAGUCUGAUGUGAAAGUCCGGGGCUCAACCCCGGGACUGCAUUGGAAACUGUCCGGCUAGAGUGCAGGAGAGGUAAGUGGAAUUCCUAGUGUAGCGGUGAAAUGCGUAGAUAUCAGGAGGAACACCAGUGGCGAAGGCGGCUUACUGGACUGUAACUGACGUUGAGGCUCGAAAGCGUGGGGAGCAAACAGG